CCUACGGGUGGCAGCAGUGGGGAAUAUUGGACAAUGGGCGAAAGCCUGAUCCAGCCAUGCCGCGUGUGUGAAGAAGGCCUUCGGGUUGUAAAGCACUUUCAGUGGGGAAGAAAGCCUUGGGGCUAAUACCCUCGAGGAAGGACAUCACCCACAGAAGAAGCACCGGCUAACUCCGUGCCAGCAGCCGCGGUAAUACGGAGGGUGCGAGCGUUAAUCGGAAUUACUGGGCGUAAAGCGCGCGUAGGCGGUCUGAUAAGCCGGUUGUGAAAGCCCCGGGCUCAACCUGGGAACGGCAUCCGGAACUGUCAGGCUAGAGUGCAGGAGAGGAAGGUAGAAUUCCCGGUGUAGCGGUGAAAUGCGUAGAGAUCGGGAGGAAUACCAGUGGCGAAGGCGGCCUUCUGGACUGACACUGACGCUGAGGUGCGAAAGCGUGGGUAGCAAACAGGAUUAGAUACCUGGUAGUC
This 464-nucleotide ribosomal RNA is filed under the name Vreelandella stevensii. RNAcentral's name for it is "partial 16S ribosomal RNA". It matches the Rfam family "Bacterial small subunit ribosomal RNA", at positions 338 to 795 of the family's 1533-position model. The record is from RNAcentral. Lineage: Bacteria; Pseudomonadati; Pseudomonadota; Gammaproteobacteria; Oceanospirillales; Halomonadaceae.